AACGAACGCUGGCGGCAGGCUUAACACAUGCAAGUCGAACGCACCUUUCGGGGUGAGUGGCAGACGGGUGAGUAACGCGUGGGAAUCUACCCUUCUCCACGGGAUAGCUCCGGGAAACUGGAAUUAAUACCGUAUACGUCCUGCGGGAGAAAGAUUUAUCGGGGAAGGAUGAGCGCGCGUUGCUUUAGCUAGUGGGUGGGGUAAAGGCCUACCAAGGCGACGAUCCAUAGCUGGUCUAAGAGGAUGAUCAGCGACAUUGGGGCGAAGACACGGCCCAAACUCCUACGGGAGGCGGGAGUGGGGAAUCUUGGACAAUCGGGGGAGUGCUGAAGCCGCCAUGGCGCGUGAGUCAUGAAGGCCCUAGGGUUGUAAAGCACUUUCAGUGGGGACGAUAAUGACGGUACCCAAAGAAGAAGCCCCGGCUAACUUCGUG
This 433-nucleotide ribosomal RNA is filed under the name uncultured bacterium. RNAcentral's name for it is "partial 16S ribosomal RNA". It matches the Rfam family "Bacterial small subunit ribosomal RNA", at positions 29 to 507 of the family's 1533-position model. The record is from RNAcentral.